RNAcentral lists this unclassified non-coding RNA (175 nucleotides) under uncultured Sebacinaceae. Its description in RNAcentral is "sequence contains ITS1". The record is from RNAcentral. Lineage: Eukaryota; Fungi; Basidiomycota; Agaricomycetes; Sebacinales; Sebacinaceae.
AUGAUUGCGAAUGGUCACCUUCAGUGCUGGCUCUUAAGAGCAAGUGCACGUUGGUGGCUUUCAUCCAAUUCCACACCCUGUGAACCUUUGGCCUCUUGCUAGCUUCGGCUGGCAGAGGAUUUUACACACACUCGAAUGUAAUGAAAAACUAUUGUUGUGCGCAAGCACUAAUAUA